This 1793-nucleotide long non-coding RNA is filed under the name Citrus sinensis (sweet orange). Its description in RNAcentral is "long non-coding RNA (CSIN_LNC002234)". The record is from RNAcentral. Lineage: Eukaryota; Viridiplantae; Streptophyta; Magnoliopsida; Sapindales; Rutaceae.
AUAAUGACAGUUACUCAUGUGACAGUUUUUGGCUAAAAGGCUUUAUAUCUUAUAAGUACGACAUACAUGUGACAUAAAUUUUUUCUAUAAAAAAUUUAUGAUAAAUCUGCUGUACCGUACAUCCGCCUUGGCCGUACAGCAGUUAAGUCAUGCUAAAGUGAAUUUAUAUUGACCAAAGAAUGUUCAACCAUCUAUUAGAUACUUGCAUCAUCAUAAUCGCUCCAAGAACUCUAGUACUCAGUAUUUGCAAUAAAACAACUCAAAGAUAAGUCACUAUAACAAAAACACUCAGUGACCUUUUCAAGACAUCAUUUUUUAUCCACUUGUCUUUAACUCUCAACUCCAGAUUCUUCACAAACUUAUUCCAAAAUUUGGGCAUCACUUCACAUUUCUUAUUAACAACGUAUUUAUCUUCUUCAGAGGCACUAAGAAAUUCAUCCACUGCCCAAGUUUUUCCAACUGUCGUCAUGGCAACACCAUCCAUGCUUAUAAAAACAGCAGCAAGUUUUGCAAUAGUUAUCGAGUCCUGUCCAAGGAGAGCUCCAAAGAAAAGCACAAAUAGAGAAAUGGGUUUGCUGAGUUAUUGGAAACCUUUACCCUUGGAGAAAACAGAGCAAUUUUCCAUUUAAUGAUUGUAUUCAACUGUUUAUUAGAUACUUAAAUCAUCAUAAUCGCCAAUUUUUUAUCCUUUCUUUUAGCCUUAAGUCAUGCUAAAGUGAAUUUAUAUUGACCAAAGAAUGUUCAACCAUCUAUUAGAUACUUGCAUCAUCAUAAUCGCUCCAAGAACUCUAGUAUUCAGUAUUUGCAAUAAAACAACUCAAAGAUUAAGUCACUAUAACAAAAACACUCAGUGACCUUUUCAAGACAUCAUUUUUUAUCCACUUGUCUUUAACUCUCAACUCCAGAUUCUUCACAAACUUAUUCGAAAAUUUGGGCAUCACUUAACAUUUAUACACAAAAACAAUCUGGCCCUUUUUUUUUCUAAUAAACAUAAGCUCAUUUGAAAACACAUUUUGCAAUUAAUAAAUAAGCAAUUAAAAAUUAAAAAAAUAGAGUAAACUUUGAAGCUCAUGCUUUACAUCAUUUCAGUACAUGGCAUAAUAUUGACAAAUUUAUGGCAAAUUCCACUCAAUCAGAAUCCAAACAACUCAAAAAAAUAAACCAAUAGAGUACAAAAUCUCAUGACACAAUCCAAUUUCUCAGCAAGCAAUCACAAUUUAACUAAAAAUCAACCCCUUAAUAAGAAAUUUAAUUUUGAAAACAAAAAGCUUUUAAUCAAAACCUCUAUUUAAUACAUAUGUAAGACAUAAUUGAAAUACAUAAAGAAGAAUCCUCGAGAAGAUAUGAAGAGAGAUUACCUUCCCUUUUAAACUAUUAAGCCGCCAUUGUUAACUUGUUAUAUAGGCACCCAAAAAAUCUCAAAUCUGCAAUAUAAAACAAUGAAAAUGUCAUUAUCUUAAGGGACAUGCAAUACUUGAGCUUGAAAUAGGUCUGAGAAUUUUAAUAGGCAUUUUAUCGAAGAGUUAACAUGCAUGUUGUAAUAUGCUAUUUCUAGAUCAAAGCGUGUAUUAGAUAAGGACAACAUUGAUUUUAUUUAUCAUUGUACAAAUUUUAAUCCUCCAUACCAAGAAUGAAAUAAUUUUUUAGAAGUAAAAUGUAUUAUGUUUCUGAUUUAGUUAUAGCUCGUGGCAACCUAAGCCAAUUUAAUAGCCUUUUUUAAGCCAUUACAUUGAAUUUACAAAACCAAUCCUUCAAACUUAUUACAUAAAAGGACUUAUCUAGUUACAAUCAAU